UAAAAUGCCUCCUAGAUCCUAACCUUCAAAAGUAUGCCAUCUCAACCAUAACAAUCUUAGCAUGCUUUUCGAAGACAACGCAGGCAUUGGUACCACAUUACAUGAUUGGUGAGCUCCCCAAAAGGCAAUUAAUCCCAAAUGCUCAUGACACCUUAAUUCUAUCAACUAAAAAUUACUUCAAAAUAGCGUUUGGAAAUCGUGGAAUGACUUGCAACUAUGUCUAAAAACAAAGUUCAAAAUGUGACAAGGAAUCCAUCAACUUUAAAUACAAUGCUUCAAAAAUUAACCACGUCAUCCCAACCCGAAAGAAUUAUCACAUAUAGGAUUUGCCAAACCAAUCUGAACCACCUGAACUGAACCGAUAUGGAAACUAGGUCAGUUUUGCUUAUCGGUUCGGGACUUGAUAUGAAUUACCCAAACCACUCCAAACGAAGCGGAACUGCAUAAUUCUGCUUAGCACGACUUGUUUUGAGUCAGUUCCGGCCAUCCUGUGACAAAAACGAGAGAAGGCCAUGGGAUGCCAUUCCCCCCUCUUUUCUUAAAACUCCAUGAAGAAAAUGGUGGAUUUUA
Molecule: long non-coding RNA, 570 nt
Filed under: Phoenix dactylifera (date palm)
Lineage: Eukaryota; Viridiplantae; Streptophyta; Magnoliopsida; Arecales; Arecaceae
Description: long non-coding RNA (PDAC_LNC021507)
Source: RNAcentral